Pelobates cultripes (western spadefoot toad) is the source of this 238-nucleotide non-coding RNA. Lineage: Eukaryota; Metazoa; Chordata; Amphibia; Anura; Pelobatidae. The record is from the annotation of a GenBank genome assembly.
GGUGCUUCCUGUGUCAGUGUGGAUUGGCUGAGAUCAUCAAGCUUGAUGAUCUCAGCCAUAGAGGCAGGGCCAGUCGAGGGGAGACCAGCACGACGUGGGAGGGGAAAAGGUCACAGACAGACCGUGACACAGACACACACACACACACCGUGACACAGACAGAAACACAGACACACCAUGACAAAGACAUACACACACCAUGACAGAGACACACACAUACCAUGACAGAAAAACACCA